This is a long non-coding RNA of Gadus chalcogrammus (walleye pollock), 1047 nucleotides long. RefSeq lists it as uncharacterized. Lineage: Eukaryota; Metazoa; Chordata; Actinopteri; Gadiformes; Gadidae. The transcript is spliced from 5 exons. The record is from RefSeq and is a predicted model, not a curated record.
CAUUUAUGUGUAUAAUUAUAUACAUUUAAAUGUCUUAACCUUAAGUUAAGUUGGUUAAUGAUAAUUGGUUUAUCAUUUCCAGCAAGUAAAAGAUACAAGAUGGCUGUCCCAGCACCAGGCCAUUGAGGUAUUGCAGCGAAACCUCGCAGCUGUGCUUGCCACAUUAGCUGAGGAAGUUGAAGUGAAACGAUGCCCAGUGGCCAAGGGACUGUACACCUUUUGUGCCACUUACAGAUUUGUGGCAUCAUUAUAUCUGCAGGCAGAUGUACUGCCACAUCUUGCCCGUUUGUCCAAGAUUUUUCAGAAGGCAAAUGUGAACUUCCUGCACAUAAAGGAACAGGUUCCCAUCACAAUUGAAACCUUGAGACGCAUCAAGGAUGCCGGCACUUCUCCCCCACAUGGGUCUUUCCUAUCCUGUCUCCAUAGAGAUCUGGAUGACCCCUCAGGACUUGGAGCCCAGUCCAUACAUCAUGAGGAGGAGAGGAACAGGAGAGGACAAAGUCUUGACGACGUACCACGAGAGCAACAGUGGUCAAGAUUUGUGGCAGAUGUUGCCAGUCCUUACAUCAGUGGCCUGAUUCAUCACCUGGAGUGCAGGUUCGAGAAUCUGAAUCUUCUUGGGGCCUUCAGUGUGUUGGGACCACAGGCAACUUCACAAAGUGAUGAGCAGAAUAAUGCCCACCGACAAGAGCCAGGCUGACAUACUGAGACUCCUAGCAAGUGAGUGCGACGAAUGGGGGCUGAUAUACCCAUUACUCAGCCGCUUAGCAGCCAUUGCCCUUGUUGUGCCGGUGUCAAGCGUGAAUUGUGAAAGAGACUUUUCCACAAUGAACAGGGUCAAAACAGACCUCCGUAACAGACUUCAGGGAGAGCACCUGGCUGCCUGUUUGAGGAUCUCUAUUAACGGGCCAGAACCUGAAGACUUAAAUUACCAAAGGGCACUGGAACUGUUUUUCUCAAAGCCAAGAAAAAUGAAAUGUUCUAGCGCAGGGUGUCAUAUCUGUAAAUAGGGUGGUUGCUAUCUGUAAUAUGAAUAAAUACGCCAAG